Molecule: ribosomal RNA, 366 nt
Filed under: uncultured bacterium
Lineage: Bacteria
Description: bacterial SSU rRNA
Rfam family: Bacterial small subunit ribosomal RNA
Source: RNAcentral
CAGUAGGGAGGAAGGUAGUGUAGUUAACACCUGCAUUAUUUGACGUUACCUACAGAAGAAGCACCGGCUAACUCCGUGCCAGCAGCCGCGGUAAUACGGAGGGUGCGAGCGUUAAUCGGAAUUACUGGGCGUAAAGCGCAUGCAGGCGGCCUGUUAAGUCAGAUGUGAAAGCCCGGGGCUUAACCUCGGAAUUGCAUUUGAAACUGGCAGGCUAGAGUCUUGUAGAGGGGGGUAGGAAUUUCAGGUGUAGCGGUGAAAUGCGUAGAGAUCUGAAGGAAUACCAGUGGCGAAGGCGGCCCCCUCGGACAAAGACUGACGCUCAGAUGCGAAAGCGUGGGGAGCAAACAGGAUUAGAUACCCUGGUAG